This 408-nucleotide ribosomal RNA is filed under the name uncultured bacterium. Its description in RNAcentral is "bacterial SSU rRNA". The stretch from base 90 to 408 matches the Rfam family "Bacterial small subunit ribosomal RNA", at positions 1 to 305 of the family's 1533-position model. The record is from RNAcentral.
CAGGGAGAGCGUCUCGGAUCAUUGACAACUAAAUAGGAGCAGCAACGUCCAAUUAAAGGGCCCUGAUCACGAAACACAGUAAUAAAAUGAAUCUGGAGAGUUUGAUCCUGGCUCAGAACGAACGCUGGCGGCGUGCCUAACACAUGCAAGUCCAACGUGAAAGGGGAGCAAUCCCCCGGUAGGGUGGCAAACGGGUGAGUAAUACAUGGGUGAUCUACCUUAGGGAUGGGGAUAUCCUUCCGAAAGGAGGGGCAAUACCGAAUAUUGUCCGGAGCCGUGAAGGGUUCCGGGGAAAGGGAGGCCUCUGAUACAAGCUUUCGCCUUAAGAUGAGCCCAUGGCCCAUCAGCUAGUUGGUAGGGUAAAGGCCUACCAAGGCUACGACGGGUCGCUGGUCUGAGAGGACGACC